AGAAUCAACGCUGGCGGCGUGCCUAACACAUGCAAGUCGAACGGGAAAGUGGAGCAAUCCAUGAGUAUAGUGGCGACCGGGUGAGUAACACGUGACUAACCUACCCUUGAGUGGGGGAUAACCUCGGGAAACCGGGGCUAAUACCGCAUAACAUCUUCGGGAUGAGAAGCUGAAGAUCAAAGGAGCAAUUCGCUUUCGGAGGGGGUCGCGGCUGAUUAGCUAGUUGGCGGGGUAACGCCCACCAAGGCUUUGAUCGGUA
This 259-nucleotide ribosomal RNA is filed under the name uncultured bacterium. Its description in RNAcentral is "partial small subunit ribosomal RNA". It matches the Rfam family "Bacterial small subunit ribosomal RNA", at positions 26 to 285 of the family's 1533-position model. The record is from RNAcentral.